Molecule: long non-coding RNA, 189 nt
Organism: Zingiber officinale
Lineage: Eukaryota; Viridiplantae; Streptophyta; Magnoliopsida; Zingiberales; Zingiberaceae
Exons: 4
Source: RefSeq, a predicted model, not a curated record
AGAUUCACUACCAUCUAUAUUCACACAAGCAGAGUAUUCUCGAGAAGAAAUUGAUGAGGUGCGAUCGGAGUUGGCAGAAUGUAUACAAGAUCAUAUUUAUGAGUAGGAGAAAUGCUCAAACUACAUGGUAGAGAUGGCAUGGAUAGAAAAUGUGGAUACAGGACAGUCGAGAUCAGUACACUAAAGAGC